RNAcentral lists this ribosomal RNA (527 nucleotides) under uncultured bacterium. RNAcentral's name for it is "partial 16S ribosomal RNA". It matches the Rfam family "Bacterial small subunit ribosomal RNA", at positions 355 to 900 of the family's 1533-position model. The record is from RNAcentral.
UGGGGAAUAUUGGACAAUGGGCGCAAGCCUGAUCCAGCCAUGCCGCGUGAGUGAUGAAGGCCUUAGGGUUGUAAAGCUCUUUCGACGGGGACGAUAAUGACGGUACCCGUAGAAGAAGCCCCGGCUAACUUCGUGCCAGCAGCCGCGGUAAUACGAAGGGGGCUAGCGUUGCUCGGAAUCACUGGGCGUAAAGGGCGCGUAGGCGGACGUUUAAGUCAGAGGUGAAAGCCCAGGGCUCAACCCUGGAAUGGCCUUUGAUACUGGACGUCUUGAGUCUGGUAGAGGUUGGUGGAACUGCGAGUGUAGAGGUGAAAUUCGUAGAUAUUCGCAAGAACACCGGUGGCGAAGGCGGCCAACUGGACCAGAACUGACGCUGAGGCGCGAAAGCGUGGGGAGCAAACAGGAUUAGAUACCCUGGUAGUCCACGCCGUAAACGAUGGAUGCUAGCCGUUGGCCGGUUUACCGGUCAGUGGCGCAGCUAACGCGUUAAGCAUCCCGCCUGGGGAGUACGGCCGCAAGGUUAAAAC